GGGAUUGUGGCUCAGUGGCAGAGCACUUGCCUAGCAUGUGUGAGGCUCUGGGUUCGAUUCUCAGCACCA
Molecule: transfer RNA, 69 nt
Filed under: Ictidomys tridecemlineatus (thirteen-lined ground squirrel)
Lineage: Eukaryota; Metazoa; Chordata; Mammalia; Rodentia; Sciuridae
Also listed under: 1 other name
Description: Spermophilus tridecemlineatus (thirteen-lined ground squirrel) tRNA
Rfam family: tRNA
About the family: Transfer RNA (tRNA) molecules are approximately 80 nucleotides in length. Their secondary structure includes four short double-helical elements and three loops (D, anti-codon, and T loops). Further hydrogen bonds mediate the characteristic L-shaped molecular structure. tRNAs have two regions of fundamental functional importance: the anti-codon, which is responsible for specific mRNA codon recognition, and the 3' end, to which the tRNAs corresponding amino acid is attached (by aminoacyl-tRNA synthetases). tRNAs cope with the degeneracy of the genetic code in two manners: having more than one tRNA (with a specific anti-codon) for a particular amino acid; and 'wobble' base-pairing, i.e. permitting non-standard base-pairing at the 3rd anti-codon position.
Source: Rfam by way of RNAcentral